RNAcentral lists this ribosomal RNA (253 nucleotides) under uncultured bacterium. RNAcentral's name for it is "partial 16S ribosomal RNA". It matches the Rfam family "Bacterial small subunit ribosomal RNA", at positions 524 to 776 of the family's 1533-position model. The record is from RNAcentral.
UACGUAGGGGGCAAGCGUUGUCCGGAAUCAUUGGGCGUAAAGAGCGUGUAGGCGGCCUGAUAAGUCGGUUGUGAAAGUCAAGGGCUCAACCCUUGAAUGCCGACCGAUACUGUCAGGCUAGAGUCCGGAAGAGGCGAGUGGAAUUCCUGGCGUAGCGGUGAAAUGCGCAGAUAUCAGGAGGAACACCAAUGGCGAAGGCAGCUCGCUGGGACGGUACUGACGCUGAGACGCGAAAGCGUGGGGAGCGAACAGG